GCUUUCGUAGUGUAACGAUAGUACACUGGGCAUCUAUUCUAGAGGUCCAGGUUCGAGUCCCGGCGAGGGCA
This 71-nucleotide transfer RNA is filed under the name Stegodyphus mimosarum. It matches the Rfam family "tRNA". From Rfam's summary of the family: Transfer RNA (tRNA) molecules are approximately 80 nucleotides in length. The record is from Rfam by way of RNAcentral. Lineage: Eukaryota; Metazoa; Arthropoda; Arachnida; Araneae; Eresidae.